CUUGAAUUAAAAUGCGUGAACUGAGCUACCAUCACUUCAUCCUGUAAAUCCUUUCAUAAUAGGGUCAACCUAGUUCUGAGCUUAUCCGGGUGAUAGUUCAGAUUCAGACUCUGAGUAAGCUGCCUCCUUUGUUAUUGAACAAAUGGAUAUACGAUCAGACUGAAGCAUUUCUCAGUGGAUUGCUUAUGAGGCCUUAUUACCUUGCAGUACUGCUUCAGAAAAAAACAUGGUUGUAAAUUAAGGACACAGUGAAAAACGCCAUUCUCUUAUCUAGAUGGUGUCUCAGCUGGACUCCGCUGACUUAGUAAGCCAACAUCACGUCAGAUGAAAAGAUGAUUUUUUGACCAAGUUGUUGUCGUGCAAAGGUUCAAAGUCAGAAACCUUGUGAUUGCUGCAGAGGAAUCUUCCACCAGGAGUACAAAAUGCUUAGCAAAAUAAUUCUAAUGAUUGCUGAGAAUUAUUCAAGCCUCUCAGUCAUUAAUAUACUUUUAUAGGGGUACUUAAAAUGAAUAAAACUUCCAGCAAAGAGAAAUUCAUACAUGUAUUAACUUUAAAGCAAAUAAUCUAAAAUUAAUCUCUAUUAAUUGUGGAAUAUUUAAUUUUUCAGAAACCUCCAGUAUUUUGUAAAUAUGAUUCUAUUGGACAAACCCUAGGAAAUAUUGUUAUGCAGCUGAAUUCUGGGCUUUGUUUUCUGUUAAAUGGCAACAGAAUAUAACAGCCGGAAACUCAUUUCCUGGGAUUACAAAUGAACUCUCUGAAUCCUUGUUCUAGUUGCUGUCUUCGUGGUUAUGGACUUUGAGCUGAUGGAGGGCUGGGAUACCACGUCUAAUUGUUAUGGAUGUCCCUACACCAUUUCAGCAUUGCUGUAAAUCGCGGUCCCAGACUGGCCUGUUGAUCCCAGUAUGAGCGCAAGAGACACAUGAAGCGGAGCCAAGUUGAUCCAGCCAAGACCAGCCUGGAUUAGUUUACUCCCAGAUUACAUUCAGACACGUGAGUGAACCCAGUAUGGAUAAACUGAACCUCACAGACACGUAACAGAUGUCUACUGUUGUAUAAUCAUUAUUUUCCUAAACAUCUGAUGCAAUCACCAACCAGAUUAAAAACCUUUUGAGGACAGGGCCUUGUUUUAUUUAUUUUACCUAGAACUCAGUAGGCAAUGUGCAUUGCCUCAGUAUUUAAUGGUAUUGGAUGGCUUCAUGAAUAAAGAUCAAUU
RNAcentral lists this long non-coding RNA (1213 nucleotides) under Equus asinus (donkey). RNAcentral's name for it is "lncRNA (ENSEASG00005027760.1)". The record is from RNAcentral. Lineage: Eukaryota; Metazoa; Chordata; Mammalia; Perissodactyla; Equidae.